UACAGAGGGGGCAAGCGUUGUUCGGAAUUACUGGGCGUAAAGGGCGCGUAGGCGGCCCGCUAAGUCGAACGUGAAAUCCCCGAGCUCAACUCGGGAACUGCGUCCGAUACUGGCGGGCUUGAAUCCGGGAGAGGGAUGCGGAAUUCCAGGUGUAGCGGUGAAAUGCGUAGAUAUCUGGAGGAACACCGGUGGCGAAGGCGGCAUCCUGGACCGGCAUUGACGCUGAGGCGCGAAAGCGUGGGGAGCAAACAGG
RNAcentral lists this ribosomal RNA (253 nucleotides) under uncultured bacterium. RNAcentral's name for it is "partial 16S ribosomal RNA". It matches the Rfam family "Bacterial small subunit ribosomal RNA", at positions 524 to 776 of the family's 1533-position model. The record is from RNAcentral.